AGUCACUGACAUUAGAUACCCGGGUAGUCCCAGCCGUAAACAAUGUGCGUUAGGUGUGUCGGUAACCACGCGUUACUGAUGCGCCGAAGAGAAAUCGUGAAACGCACCACCUGGGAAGUACGGUCGCAAGGCUGAAACUUAAAGGAAUUGGCGGGGAGCACCACAACAGGUGGAGCCUGCGGUUUAAUUGGAUUCAACGCCGGACAUCUCACCGGAUAAGACAGCUGAAUGAUUGUCAAUCUGAAGGUUUUACAUGACUAGCUG
RNAcentral lists this ribosomal RNA (264 nucleotides) under uncultured archaeon. RNAcentral's name for it is "partial 16S ribosomal RNA". It matches the Rfam family "Archaeal small subunit ribosomal RNA", at positions 719 to 982 of the family's 1478-position model. The record is from RNAcentral.